UACGUAGGGCGCAAGCGUUAUCCGGAAUUAUUGGGCGUAAAGAGCUCGUAGGCGGUUUGUCGCGUCUGCCGUGAAAGUCCGGGGCUCAACUCCGGAUCUGCGGUGGGUACGGGCAGACUAGAGUGCAGUAGGGGAGACUGGAAUUCCUGGUGUAGCGGUGAAAUGCGCAGAUAUCAGGAGGAACACCGAUGGCGAAGGCAGGUCUCUGGGCUGUAACUGACGCUGAGGAGCGAAAGCCAGGGGAGCAAACGGG
This 253-nucleotide ribosomal RNA is filed under the name uncultured bacterium. RNAcentral's name for it is "partial 16S ribosomal RNA". It matches the Rfam family "Bacterial small subunit ribosomal RNA", at positions 524 to 776 of the family's 1533-position model. The record is from RNAcentral.